AGGCAGCAGUAGGGAAUAUUGGUCAAUGGGCGGGAGCCUGAACCAGCCAUGCCGCGUGCAGGAAGACGGCCUUCUGGGUUGUAAACUGCUUUUUUUAGGGAAGAAAACGCCCAUGCGUGGGAGAUUGACGGUACCUGAAGAAUAAGCACCGGCUAACUCCGUGCCAGCAGCCGCGGUAAUACGGAGGGUGCAAGCGUUGUCCGGAUUUAUUGGGUUUAAAGGGUGCGUAGGCGGCUUUUUAAGUCAGUGGUGAAAUGCGGCAGCUCAACUGCCGGAGUGCCAUUGAUACUGAAAAGCUUGAGUAUAGAUGAGGCAGGCGGAAUUUAUGGUGUAGCGGUGAAAUGCAUAGAUACCAUAAAGAACACCGAUAGCGUAGGCAGCUUGCUAAACUAUAACUGACGCUGAGGCACGAAAGCAUGGGUAGCGAACAGGAUUAGAUACCCUGGUAGUCCAUGCCGUAAACGAUGAUUACUCGAUGUGUGCGAUACACAGUACGCGUCCAAGCGAAAGCGUUAAGUAAUCCACCUGGGGAGUACGCCCGCAAGGGUGAAACUC
RNAcentral lists this ribosomal RNA (555 nucleotides) under uncultured bacterium. Its description in RNAcentral is "bacterial SSU rRNA". It matches the Rfam family "Bacterial small subunit ribosomal RNA", at positions 346 to 902 of the family's 1533-position model. The record is from RNAcentral.